This 1361-nucleotide ribosomal RNA is filed under the name uncultured bacterium. RNAcentral's name for it is "bacterial SSU rRNA". It matches the Rfam family "Bacterial small subunit ribosomal RNA", at positions 28 to 1381 of the family's 1533-position model. The record is from RNAcentral.
AUUGAACGCUGGCGGCAGGCCUAACACAUGCAAGUCGAGCGGUAGCACAGAGAGCUUGCUCUCGGGUGACGAGCGGCGGACGGGUGAGUAAUGUCUGGGAAACUGCCUGAUGGAGGGGGAUAACUACUGGAAACGGUAGCUAAUACCGCAUAACGUCGCAAGACCAAAGUGGGGGACCUUCGGGCCUCAUGCCAUCAGAUGUGCCCAGAUGGGAUUAGCUAGUAGGUGGGGUAAUGGCUCACCUAGGCGACGAUCCCUAGCUGGUCUGAGAGGAUGACCAGCCACACUGGAACUGAGACACGGUCCAGACUCCUACGGGAGGCAGCAGUGGGGAAUAUUGCACAAUGGGCGCAAGCCUGAUGCAGCCAUGCCGCGUGUGUGAAGAAGGCCUUCGGGUUGUAAAGCACUUUCAGCGGGGAGGAAGGCGGUGAGGUUAAUAACCUCAUCGAUUGACGUUACCCGCAGAAGAAGCACCGGCUAACUCCGUGCCAGCAGCCGCGGUAAUACGGAGGGUGCAAGCGUUAAUCGGAAUUACUGGGCGUAAAGCGCACGCAGGCGGUCUGUCAAGUCGGAUGUGAAAUCCCCGGGCUCAACCUGGGAACUGCAUUCGAAACUGGCAGGCUAGAGUCUUGUAGAGGGGGGUAGAAUUCCAGGUGUAGCGGUGAAAUGCGUAGAGAUCUGGAGGAAUACCGGUGGCGAAGGCGGCCCCCUGGACAAAGACUGACGCUCAGGUGCGAAAGCGUGGGGAGCAAACAGGAUUAGAUACCCUGGUAGUCCACGCCGUAAACGAUGUCGAUUUGGAGGUUGUGCCCUUGAGGCGUGGCUUCCGGAGCUAACGCGUUAAAUCGACCGCCUGGGGAGUACGGCCGCAAGGUUAAAACUCAAAUGAAUUGACGGGGGCCCGCACAAGCGGUGGAGCAUGUGGUUUAAUUCGAUGCAACGCGAGGAACCUUACCUGGUCUUGACAUCCACAGAACUUUCCAGAGAUGGAUUGGUGCCUUCGGGAACUGUGAGACAGGUGCUGCAUGGCUGUCGUCAGCUCGUGUUGUGAAAUGUUGGGUUAAGUCCCGCAACGAGCGCAACCCUUAUCCUUUGUUGCCAGCGGUCCGGCCGGGAACUCAAAGGAGACUGCCAGUGAUAAACUGGAGGAAGGUGGGGAUGACGUCAAGUCAUCAUGGCCCUUACGACCAGGGCUACACACGUGCUACAAUGGCAUAUACAAAGAGAAGCGACCUCGCGAGAGCAAGCGGACCUCAUAAAGUAUGUCGUAGUCCGGAUUGGAGUCUGCAACUCGACUCCAUGAAGUCGGAAUCGCUAGUAAUCGUAGAUCAGAAUGCUACGGUGAAUACGUUCCCGGGCCU